RNAcentral lists this non-coding RNA (44 nucleotides) under Kryptoperidinium foliaceum. Lineage: Eukaryota; Dinophyceae; Peridiniales; Kryptoperidiniaceae. The record is from RNAcentral. RNAcentral also lists the same sequence under 1 other name.
ACGCGAGGCCGGAUCGCCGAGCAGUGAGAACCUCCUGCUGCAGA